UCAUGGUUCAAACUCACAGAGUGCAGCAGACUCUCAGCACAGUAACAUCCACCAUCACAGCGCCACUGAGAUCCUCUGGUUCUUUUACAAAGUUCCCCAUGAUGACUCGUGUUUUCUUCACCUCGCGGCGUUUUCCCAUUAUAGCGUGUAUAGGAGGAGGAGUCUGCCAGCUGUAGCUUGUUUGCAGACUCGGUGCGUUUUGCACUAAGCCAGUGCUUCUAUGGGUCAGGCUUAGUUCCAGUCUGAAUUAAAAUGAAUUAAUUAUAUUUUUUCCUCUUGUUUUCAAAAAGAGUUUCUUUGACGGACAGCUUGUGAGGAGACACAGCAGCAGGGAUAUUUGGUCAUGACCGUCUCCGUUUAACUCUGCGAUGGAGUCAAGUAUGAGACUUAUUGUUCUUCUGAUUGUGAUGAGAUUUUCUGCUUCUGAGGAAGUGAAGAAGAACCUGACGGGCACUGUGGGAGGAAACAUCACUCUACCUGACUCUGUGCAGGAGAAAGACGUAGGAUUUCUGUUAUAUGGAAGAACGAAUAUUGCUCAUGUGAUUAAGGGGGGAUUUGAAAUACACAAGGACAUUUACAUGAACAGACUUCAGUGGGACAGAAACUCUGGACUCUUUACACUCACAGAGCUGCAGAGGGACGACUCAGGGAUUUAUACUGUCGACUCUAAAACAGGAAAAGUUUUCACAUCAUCAUAUAAGCUCACAGUGUACGAUCCUGUACCAACACCUAACGUGACAAAGCUGAACUCCAGCUCUGAGAGCUGCUCCUUACUGUGUUGGGUGGACAGAGAGACCACACUGCUGUGGUUCAAAGACGAGCAGAUGCUGAACCAGAGCAGCUCUGCGCUCUCUCUGCCUCUCACUGUGCACAAACAGGACUUCAGCUCCUCUUACAGAUGUGUGGCUGCAAACCCUGCAGAGGAGAAAACUCUUCCUGUCCGUGUGAGAACCACCUGUGGAGACACAGACGACAACGACACCAACAGCUCGACUGAACCAAGAAACUAUAACAUCCUCAUUAUAAUCUUCUGUCUCCUGUUGGUUGUGAUGAUCAUACUUGCUACUUUCAUCAUCAAGUCAAAGUAUCUUUCCCGAAACAAAACGAAGACAAACGGACAGGCACAAGGCUCCGCAGGCACACAGGAAGAGGUCCAAUAUAGUGAAAUACAAAUAAGCAACAACAGACAGGGGGAAAAUAUACCAGAGUCCUCAACAACGAUCUGCCACACCAACCUGACCACAGUAUACGAUAAGCUGGAGGCCCAUCGCAUGAUCACGGACAACCAUGCUGAAAAUACCUGAGACCACACGAGAAAUUCCCAACCGAGAGUUUCCAGAAAGAAAAUUUUCAGACUAGUGUUACCUGUUGCUUGUCAGGUGAUACUCCCUCUAACCCGGAUGCUCCCAUUGGUCCAGAGCCGUCCUCUGGUUCUCAGCAGCAGUGUGGACCAACAUCACCUGGAACCUCUGUUACAAAAAGACUUUUUUGUGUAAUGAUCAGUGUUGGGAAGGUUACUUUUAACAUGAAUUCCACUACAGAUUACAGAUUACAUGCCCCAAAAUGUAUUUUGUAAUGUAAUCCAUUACAUUACUCAAUGAGAGUAACGUAUUCUGAAUACUUUGGAUUACUUAAUAUAUUAUCAUCCUUUUUACAACUACAUGAAUGUGAUUUAUUACUAUUACUGAAGGUUACUCUCCACACCAACACCAGCUAGAUGUUUGAAUCUUAAUAUAAAUGAGUAACAGUAGGUGGACAUUAGGUAAGGCUGCACUUUUUGCUGUGAUCUCGUGUAGAAAACUAUUCCUCGCGUAUAUAAAACAGGUCCGCGGCUCUGAACCGUAGUAAAGGGACCUCUGGCUGAUACGUCGGGUUCAUGUCGGCUCGUAGCUGAAAACUAGCUUUGCUUUGUUGUCUGGGUCACUUUGCUAGCAGAGACAGAGAGAGGCGUUGAAAGGCUGCUGCAACAGAACUUAUUGUUUCAGAGGAAACAGGAACACAGUGUACAGUCGAGUCUUAACAGCUUACUCACAGCUGGGCUCGUCGGCUCUGUUUGGCUGCAGUGGUUAUUAUUAUAUUUACAUGCUUCAUACAUGCGAUGCCUGUAACACUCUGCCUAUUGCCUUCAUAUUAAAUCUUUUUUUGAAUAAUAAUUUUUUUAAAUAUUCCUUCGCGUCAUUAUGCGGCUGCAAGUAGAGGUGACAUGAGCCGUGACGUUCAGACACGGCAUUAGAGCCUCGCGUGUUUUGUUUGGGUUUCCACCGGCGUGGACUUACAGAAAAUAGAGAGGGGACAGCCGAACAUAUGAAACAGGAAAAUACCGCCGUGUAAUCCGUUUAUUUUGACAAAGUUACUGUAUUCUAAGUACCACCUUUUUAAACGGUAACUGUAACUGAAUACAGUUACUCAUAUUUUGUAUUUUAAAUAUGUAACGGCGGUACAUGUACUCCAUUACUUCCCAAGACUGGUAAUAACCAUAUUCAACAUUACAAGGACACUCAGCAGCAACCGGUCCAACCAGGUCGGGUCCAAGCAGCUCUGCAGCCGUCUUCUCAACAGCCAACUCUCUGCACCUCAUAUGUCCUCGCCAGCUGACUGUAAUACUGCUGAAUACUGAAAUGUCUGAUCUUAAUCAGAGAUCCGUCCAUCUGUCAAUCAGACCCUCUUUUCUGCUGACUCAGUUAAAGAAGCUUACACCUCACCUCUGGUAUCUGUUGGUCUCUCAGCUAUAGUAACUGCACUCGUGCACAAUCCAGGGAUUCAGCAGCUUUUGUCCUGCGUCCAGUUUGUUUGAAAUCCUGGUGGAAACGGUGGCUUCUGAUGUUCAUGCUCACCUCUCUGCCAAUAACCUUCAUGAACAAUAACAUGUGGUUUCCACCUCCUCACAGCAACAGCCUCGGUAAAUGUCCACACCCAGUUCAUUCUCUGAACUCACACCCAAGGAUCUGACCUGGAGUCUGUUCUGUUUAUUAUUUAUCUACUUCUUAUUGGUCAAAUCUUCCCCUUAAUAUCAGUUCAGCAUCAUUAUCAUUAUUAUCAUUAUUAAUUAAUUAAUAUUUGCUGGUUUUAUACGUUUUAAGCUUUGGUUUCUGUCCUGUGGAGCUAAACGUGAUCACUGAUGUUCAACAACAUUUAUUAGUUUAUAAAGUCCUAAUCCAUAACACACCCGUCCCUGUGUGAUGUCACUGUUACUUUAGUAGUGUGUGACAGCUAAUGUUUUUUCUUCUGCCCACAUAUUCUGUGAUAUUCUGCAAACGUGUAAUUAACAUGUAACUAAAGGCACAUUAAUCUGUCAUUUUUAACAAUGAAGUUAUUUAUAUUUGCAUGCCAAUAAAGACUGAACUUAUCAGACUGUUAUGGUG
Long non-coding RNA from Astatotilapia calliptera (eastern happy), 3362 nucleotides. NCBI's taxonomy places the organism in Eukaryota, Metazoa, Chordata, Actinopteri, Cichliformes, Cichlidae. The record is from Ensembl.